This 243-nucleotide non-coding RNA is filed under the name Limosilactobacillus reuteri. RNAcentral's name for it is "Lactobacillus reuteri T-box sequence". It matches the Rfam family "T-box leader". Rfam says of the family: Uncharged tRNA acts as the effector for transcription antitermination of genes in the T-box leader family. T-boxes are found upstream of many aminoacyl-tRNA synthetase genes and some amino acid biosynthetic genes usually in Gram-positive bacteria. Lineage: Bacteria; Bacillati; Bacillota; Bacilli; Lactobacillales; Lactobacillaceae. The record is from RNAcentral.
UAAAACAUAUCGAAAAGCAGAGUAAGUAGCGAGGCUUACAAGAGAGCUUCUGGGUGGUGUAAAGAAGCAAGCGUAACUACUGAAGAUGGGCUUGGAAUGGUAUCGAUGAUUGUUAGUCGAUAACGGGUUAGCACACGUUAUUAGUGCUAGGUAAUUCUAAUUAUUUUAUUAGAGUAACCUACUGAGGCUGGGUCUGUGAAGAUUCAGCAAAUAAAGGUGGUAACGCGAGCACUCGUCCUUUGA